RNAcentral lists this ribosomal RNA (496 nucleotides) under uncultured bacterium. RNAcentral describes it as "partial 16S ribosomal RNA". It matches the Rfam family "Bacterial small subunit ribosomal RNA", at positions 29 to 523 of the family's 1533-position model. The record is from RNAcentral.
AUUGAACGCUGGCGGCAUGCUUUACACAUGCAAGUCGAACGGUAGAGGGGGCAACCCCUUGAGAGUGGCGAACGGGUGAGUAAUGCAUCGGAACGUGCCCAGUCGUGGGGGAUAACGCAGCGAAAGCUGUGCUAAUACCGCAUACGAUCUCUGGAUGAAAGCGGGGGACCGACAGGCCUCGCGCGACUGGAGCGGCCGAUGUCAGAUUAGGUAGUUGGUGGGGUAAAGGCUCACCAAGCCAACGAUCUGUAGCUGGUCUGAGAGGACGACCAGCGACACUGGGACUGAGACACGGCCAAGAAUCCUACGGGAGGCAGCAGUGGGGAAUUUUGGACAAUGGGCGCAAGCCUGAUCCAGCAAUGCCGCGUGCAGGAAGAAGGCCUUCGGGUUGUAAACUGCUUUUGUACGGAACGAAAAGGUCUGGGUUAAUACCCUGGGCACAUGACGGUACCGUAAGAAUAAGCACCGGCUAACUACGUGCCAGCCGCCGCCGUAA